Molecule: ribosomal RNA, 500 nt
Filed under: uncultured bacterium
Lineage: Bacteria
Description: partial 16S ribosomal RNA
Rfam family: Bacterial small subunit ribosomal RNA
Source: RNAcentral
AUUGAACGCUGGCGGCAUGCCUUACACAUGCAAGUCGAACGGCAGCACGGGAGCAAUCCUGGUGGCGAGUGGCGAACGGGUGAGUAAUAUAUCGGAACGUGCCCAGUCGUGGGGGAUAACGCAGCGAAAGCUGUGCUAAUACCGCAUACGAUCUAAGGAUGAAAGCGGGGGACCGUAAGGCCUCGCGCGAUCGGAGCGGCCGAUGUCAGAUUAGGUAGUUGGUGGGGUAAAGGCUCACCAAGCCAACGAUCUGUAGCUGGUCUGAGAGGACGACCCGCAACACUGGGACUGGGACACGGCCCAGACUCCUACGGGAGGCAGCAGUGGGGAAUUUUGGACAAUGGGCGAAAGCCUGAUCCAGCAAUGCCGCGUGCAGGAAGAAGGCCUUCGGGUUGUAAACUGCUUUUGUACGGAGCGAAAAGGUCUCCUCUAAUACAGGGGGCUCAUGACGGUACCGUAAGAAUAAGCACCGGCUAACUACGUGCCAGCCGCCGCCGUAA